Long non-coding RNA from Gasterosteus aculeatus aculeatus (three-spined stickleback), 1187 nucleotides. The record is from Ensembl. Lineage: Eukaryota; Metazoa; Chordata; Actinopteri; Perciformes; Gasterosteidae.
GUAUGUUCAUCUGUUUAUACAAUUGCCUGCAAUAAAUUACAGUCUAACAAACAAAAUAUACUUUGCCAACAACAACACAUAAUGGCCCCUAAUAUAAAAAACUCAAAGAUCUCAGUCUCAGAAGUUCAAUUGGGAAAAAAUAUCUAAAAGAAGUAUUGUCCUAAAAUGUCCUACCACCCCUGUUUUCUUACGACUGCUUUGACACAAAAAUGUCAAAUAACACAGUUAGUGAAACCUGACACUCAAGGAGCAAAACACAAGCCCAGACCUGCACAACUAUAAGCACAUUGUCAGACUCACACUAUUUGCAAAAUACUACACAGUGUUUCCCUGUGUCCCGUAUCCCUCAACACACUUUUCUACAUUAGACACAGACAUUUUAGAUUAUGUCACUUAAUUGCCUUUUUAGACACUGCCUUAAAAAACGCCACAAAUGUGAACACACUGAUCAAACUCGGGCGACAUUGAGAGGCUGGACCGAGAGUUCAGCUCAACCUCAGCCGAUAAACUGUCCAACAUCAGUAAUACGGACAUUUCGCCAAGAGCACAGUUUUGCAAAUGGAUGCUGAUGCAAUCCGGCAUGAAUUCAUACUCUUAGAUGAGGCUGAGUUUAACCUGACAAAGGUUAGAAGAAGAGGGAGAAACCUCAUCGACCACAGAGCUUUUCUGCAUGUUCCGGCCCAACGUGGUGGUAACAUCACAAUGUGCGCCGCAAUCACGCAGAAUGGGGUCCUCCACCGCCACGCCAAGUUAGAUCCAAACAACACAAACCACAGGCCACAUGGCUUUGUCACACCAGAAGACCAGAUAGAGGCAGAGCAGAUGAGAUACGUUGUCAUCGGGGACCAUGUAUCUUAUCACCGAUCUGCUCAGGUCCAAGACUAGUUUCAACAGCACCCAUCAUUUUCAGUUCAGUACCUUCCACCAAACUCUCCCUUCCUUAACCCCAUUGAGGAGUUUCUCUCUGCACGGUGGUGGAAGGUUUACGAUCUCCAGCCCCAUGUCAGGAUACCCCUCAUUCAAGCCAUGGAGGAGGCGUGCAACCAGACUGAUGCAGGGUCUGUGCAAGGAUGGAUUCGCCAUUCAAGAAGAUUCUUCACUCGCUGUCUGGAGAGAGAGAACGUAGCCUGCGAUGUGGACAAAGAGCGACGGCCCGAUCCAGCUAGGCGAAGAGAUGAUGCCUAGGA